CUCCUUUGUGGCGCACAGGCCAACUCUCCCACACUUGCACGCUUGCACACUUGUACGCUUCUCCGUCUGCUUCUGGGUGCAGUCAAUAUUGAUACGAUUAUACUGUGACAAAUGCAACGCACCACGGACAGAAUACGUGUGGAACAUGAACUUCUUGGGCGAAGCAAGGCCCGGUUCAAGAGAUGGACCAAGACUUUACCUGACCCCCACUCUCGCCCCCUCAUCCACGGCGUGCUCCGUAGUAUACAAAUUAUGAUAAAGGCUGUGAGUCAAACUCUCAGCUUGUUUUUUUUUCUUUCAAACGUAUCCAUUCAUCCUGUUCUUAUACCAGUUGUCCUGUUCAGAGUCACAGUUCAGGCUGUACCCUGCCUCCUGCCCGUUGACACUUGGGAUAGGCUCCAGCACUACAGCAAUCCUUGUUCCUGCAUGCAAGGUGUACUUCCUUGUCAGCACUGUGAAUUUGACCAAUGUGUCUACAGCAGUGAUUCCCAACCAGUGUGGCUUGAGCGAUCUUCAGGUGUUCAGUGGGAAAUCAUCACAUUUUACCUAACUGCUCG
Syngnathoides biaculeatus (alligator pipefish) is the source of this 557-nucleotide long non-coding RNA. RefSeq lists it as uncharacterized. NCBI's taxonomy places the organism in Eukaryota, Metazoa, Chordata, Actinopteri, Syngnathiformes, Syngnathidae. The transcript is spliced from 5 exons. The record is from RefSeq and is a predicted model, not a curated record.